Molecule: long non-coding RNA, 1059 nt
Organism: Betta splendens (Siamese fighting fish)
Lineage: Eukaryota; Metazoa; Chordata; Actinopteri; Anabantiformes; Osphronemidae
Exons: 3
Source: RefSeq, a predicted model, not a curated record
GCCAGCGCCGCCAGCAGGUGCUGGGUGAGCUGGGAGAAGAGCGCGGCGCUGCAGCAGGGCACCAGCAGGCCGAGCGCCAGGAUGGAGCGCUUCCUCACGGCCAUCCUGGGGCUGGUCAGCUGUGGGCGAGGAGCAGGAUGUCCAGAGCCUCCAACUGAACUGACACGUCCUCCUGUUUGGCCAUGGCACCGAUCAGCUGCGAGGUUAUCUUCUUACACACGCCUAUCGUCAGGGUCAAACCUGGCAACCCAGAAAAACACAGCUCAACGAAGAAGACAAACUGUGAUUUUGUCUGCUUCUUGUUCUGUGAUUGUGAUUAGAAUAAAAAGUUCUGGAAUGACAGCAAGAACCAUUUUGAAAAGUGUUUCUGUCAGUGAGAUUCAACAAAUGAGACACCAACUAACAGUCAAAUAUCUCCUGUCACUUGUUGAAAUAAGUGUCAUUCAGUGGAACCUAACAGCUUCUAACUUCUGCUGAGGUUUCACACACCUGACGAAAGCAGCGGCAGCUCAGCGAUCACAGUCUUCAGUCCCAUACUGGAGAUGUCCCUCAGCUGCUCCUUGUCCGACAUCAUGUUCGAGCACAGGACGUCCACCAUCAUCUCCACCUGAGGCUCCUUCACUUUACUCACCAACGGGGCCAGACUGAAACAACCCAAACACAUCACAGCUGCCCUGAGGCUUUUCAGGUACAGAUUAAAGAGUCUAUUUGGCAAAUGCAGCGGUUUGUUUGGUACCAUUUCACAGCCAGGUUCUGCACCUCCCCGUUCUUGUCCUCCAGCAGUUUGAGGAGCAUCAUCACCACUUUAUUCUCACUGUCCUUGUCCAGUUUGAUGCUGUCCUUCUGCAGCUCCAGCAUCAGGUCGUUGGUGGCCAUGAACCUGGAACCAUGCAGACACCGUUCACGCGUGAUUUCCUCAGGUUCAGGCAUUAAAGCGCCUCUCUUCUGUCGUACUCGAACCGUUACACAACAUGAGUCCGAGCUCAGAACCGUCGCCUCUGUUCUACCUGAAGUCUUUGUCGGUGGAUGUCAUUUUCUCCAGCAGGUUGGAGAUGAGGU